GCUGGAGUGGUGCUCCGGUGAGCUCCGGCAGCACUGCACCCGUUUAGAACCAAGUAAAAUGGACUCGGGGAUCAAGAUGCCCGGAUUUAUGAGACCUGCGGUGAGAGAUUUAUUGGAAGAAAAACCCACAAUUGGAAGCAAACCAUGACUGAAGAUGAAGAUGAAGCAAGUGAACGAGCCCGAGGACUGAGAGAACCGACUGGAGAGAAAUUCUUCUGACUCAGGGUUUCCAUUGAUUCAGUCAAGAGCAAGUCUGACCCACUAUACGUACCCUGUACAUUCUUCACAAGAUUAUUGACGUCGAUGGCAAGUAGCAAUGGGUGUUACCCUGGGGAGUUCCAGGAGGAACGGGCCUUGACUCCAAUAAACAGCCUCUCAUCAUCACAAUCUGC
Molecule: long non-coding RNA, 392 nt
Organism: Hypanus sabinus (Atlantic stingray)
Lineage: Eukaryota; Metazoa; Chordata; Chondrichthyes; Myliobatiformes; Dasyatidae
Exons: 3
Source: RefSeq, a predicted model, not a curated record